GCGUAUCCAACCUUCCGUACACUCAGGGAUAGCCUUUCGAAAGAAAGAUUAAUACCUGAUGGUAUGAUGAGAUUGCAUGAUAGCAUCAUUAAAGAUUUAUCGGUGUACGAUGGGGAUGCGUUCCAUUAGGUAGUAGGCGGGGUAACGGCCCACCUAGCCUACGAUGGAUAGGGGUUCUGAGAGGAAGGUCCCCCACAUUGGAACUGAGACACGGUCCAAACUCCUACGGGAGGCAGCAGUGAGGAAUAUUGGUCAAUGGACGAGAGUCUGAACCAGCCAAGUAGCGUGAAGGAUGAAGGUCUUACGGAUUGUAAACUUCUUUUAUAAGGGAAUAAAACCUCCCACGUGUGGGAGCUUGUAUGUACCUUAUGAAUAAGCAUCGGCUAACUCCGUGCCAGCAGCCGCGGUAAUACGGAGGAUGCGAGCGUUAUCCGGAUUUAUUGGGUUUAAAGGGAGCGCAGACGGGUCGUUAAGUCAGCUGUGAAAGUUUGGGGCUCAACCUUAAAAUUGCAGUUGAUACUGGCGUCCUUGAGUGCGGUUGAGGUGUGCGGAAUUCGUGG
Molecule: ribosomal RNA, 560 nt
Filed under: uncultured bacterium
Lineage: Bacteria
Description: bacterial SSU rRNA
Rfam family: Bacterial small subunit ribosomal RNA
Source: RNAcentral